GGAUUGAAGGAGUCACUGGGGAUGAAGAUCACUGCUCAGGGGCUGACGACCACUCAUCUUUCCGGAGAAGCGUCCUCAUGGUGCAGGCGGUCAAACCUCCACCUCUUUGAAGAGACCAAGCAGCUUGAUGACUGACUGGUUCUUUAUACUCAAGACCUCGUCCCGGAGCAGAGGACGGACCUAAGGCCCGCAGCGCAGCCGACUAGAGACUCCAUGUUGAACCGGUAAGAUACUGGAUUGACCAUCUUGAAGACAUUUUCAUUUAUUCAACAAGGUUCAAUUAAGUUGACCUCUCCUUCAGGCGACUUAAAGGGAGACCAGAUGUGCGGCAGCUGGGUGUCAUGGUGCAGAGACCCAACGCUGUACUGAACUACACCAGUGUGUCCUACUCCCAUAAACCCUGAGGAUCCCUGGAUGGCUACACCAGUGUGUCCUACUCCCAUAAACCCUGAGGAUCCCUGGAUGGCUACACCAGCACAUUAAUCCACACCCAACAUCAACACACAGUGCACACUCUAU
Gadus macrocephalus (Pacific cod) is the source of this 519-nucleotide long non-coding RNA. RefSeq lists it as uncharacterized. NCBI's taxonomy places the organism in Eukaryota, Metazoa, Chordata, Actinopteri, Gadiformes, Gadidae. The transcript has 4 exons. The record is from RefSeq and is a predicted model, not a curated record.